This 905-nucleotide ribosomal RNA is filed under the name uncultured soil bacterium. Its description in RNAcentral is "bacterial SSU rRNA". It matches the Rfam family "Bacterial small subunit ribosomal RNA", at positions 8 to 918 of the family's 1533-position model. The record is from RNAcentral.
AGAGUUUGAUCCUGGCUCAGAUUGAACGCUGGCGGCAUGCCUAACACAUGCAAGUCGAACGGCAGCAUUUCUUGGGUAACCAAGAAGAUGGCGAGUGGCGGACGGGUGAGUAAUACGUAGGAAUCUGCCCUAAGGCGGGGGACAACCCGGGGAAACUCGGGCUAAUACCGCAUACGCUCUACGGAGGAAAGGAAAUCGAAAGAUUUUCACCUUAGGAUGAGCCUACGUCAGAUUAGCUAGUUGGUAGGGUAAAGGCCUACCAAGGCGAUGAUCUGUAGCUGUUCCGAGAGGAAGGACAGCCACACUGGGACUGAGACACGGCCCAGACUCCUACGGGAGGCAGCAGUGGGGAAUCUUGGACAAUGGGGGAAACCCUGAUCCAGCAAUGCCGCGUGUGUGAAGAAGGCCUGCGGGUUGUAAAGCACUUUCAGUGGUGAAGAGGACCCCUUCGGGGGUCGGACGUUAACCAAAGAAGAAGCACCGGCUAACUCUGUGCCAGCAGCCGCGGUAAUACAGAGGGUGCGAGCGUUAAUCGGAAUUAUUGGGCGUAAAGGGCGCGUAGGUGGCUCUAUAAGUUAAGUGUGAAAUCCCAUGGCUUAACCAUGGAAUUGCACUUGAUACUGUAGAGCUAGAGUAUGGUAGAGGGAAGUGGAAUUUCCGGAGUAGCGGUGAAAUGCGUAGAUACCGGAAGGAACACCAGUGGCGAAGGCGGCUUCCUGGACCAAUACUGACACUGAGGCGCGACAGCGUGGGGAGCAAACAGGAUUAGAUACCCUGGUAGUCCACGCCGUAAACGAUGAAAACUAGCUGUUGGGUGUAUUUAUACACUUAGUAGCGAAGCUAACGCGAUAAGUUUUCCGCCUGGGGAGUACGGCCGCAGGUUAAAACUCAAAGGAUUGACGCGC